GCGCCUGUGGUAUAGUGGUAUUACCUCAGCCUUCCAAGCUGAAGAGGCGGGUUCGAUUCCCGUCGGGCGCU
RNAcentral lists this transfer RNA (71 nucleotides) under Spirochaetes bacterium GWC2_52_13. Its description in RNAcentral is "tRNA-Gly". It matches the Rfam family "tRNA". From Rfam's summary of the family: Transfer RNA (tRNA) molecules are approximately 80 nucleotides in length. Their secondary structure includes four short double-helical elements and three loops (D, anti-codon, and T loops). Lineage: Bacteria; Pseudomonadati; Spirochaetota. The record is from RNAcentral. RNAcentral also lists the same sequence under 8 other names.